This 315-nucleotide ribosomal RNA is filed under the name uncultured eukaryote. RNAcentral's name for it is "partial 18S ribosomal RNA". It matches the Rfam family "Eukaryotic small subunit ribosomal RNA", at positions 1470 to 1796 of the family's 1831-position model. The record is from RNAcentral.
CCCUUAGACGUUCUGGGCCGCACGCGCGCUACACUGACCAGUGCAACAAGCAUCCGUCCUUGGCCGACAGGCCCGGGCAAUCUUUGAACGCUGGUCGUGAUGGGGAUAGACUUUUGCAAUUUUUGGUCUUCAACGAGGAAUUCCUAGUAAACGCAAGUCAUCAACUUGCAUUGAUUACGUCCCUGCCCUUUGUACACACCGCCCGUCGCACCUACCGGUUGAAUGGUCCGGUGAAGCCUCCGGAUUGGCGCGCACCUCGGUGCCGCCGAGAAGUUGGCUAAACCUUACCAUUUAGAGGAAGGUGAAGUCGUAACA